CUUUUGUUUCUCCUAUUUUGUUCUCCAUUCUCUUUCACCACUCAGAGCCAAUCGUCAAUGGCAAUAAGAAAAACUCAAAGAGAAUAGAGGAAGGCUAUGUCAACUACAUUCCUAAAGAGAUAUUCUUCUUCUUGCGGUUUCAAUUAUAAUUCAACUGGAGGAUCUUUAGGAGUUGCCAUGGUUAAGACAAUGGUUGUCAAAAUAUAGUGACAGGUUUCUACUCAAUCAAGGUCUAUCGAAGGUACAGAUGCAGAGUUAAACUAGCCCUUUUGUGAGUUUGUGGCCUGUUCUCUACAUCUUGCAAAAUGGACAGUGUGAGAUAUCUCAACCAUGUUGUAGAUAGGAGAAUCAAAGCCAUUGAUUUAAUAUGCUUCGACAGAGGUACUACAUAUAAUUGUUGGUAUAGUUAUAUAACCCCCACAAUAGUUGCCAACUAUUUACGCCUCUUGCUGGUUGACAUUCUUCAGUUUUCUUCUUUCCCUUUUGUGUUAUCUCCAUUGCAACAUAUGUACAACAAGAGUUUUUUACAGGUUUUGAAAUUUGCAUUGAUUACUUCGCAUAAAUUUUCACCUCAUUUCAAACUUAAAAUUAAUUAAUACCAGAAUUUUCUAUCGGUACUAAAAGCGAGUUUGAAAAGAAAAUGUAAUUGUUUUGAUUUAAUUUUUUUCUGCAGAACAUUUUGUUAUCCACUUUUAGGGAAUAAUGAUCACUCCAGUUGACUUAUGAAUGUGGAUCAAGUUUCAAUACCUACACCCAUGCAAAUUCAUGUUAAAAUAAUAGUUACAUUAUGUGUCUGAAUUAUUUUCCUGGUCUUUCAUCUAAUUUGGUAAAGUUUGUCUUUUUUUGAUACGAUACUUGAAGAAGUUAGCUACUCAAACAUGAGUUACUGUGACUUGUUCGAUAUGAGCUAAACUUCAAGGUUUAAAAUCUUAGCUUUUGUUGUGAUGCAAGAGCUGAGGCCAAAUUUUGAGGAUUGUGGAUACGUUUCUAAGACAAUGGUUUGAGAGAUGGUUCAGUGUCCCUUAGGGAGCAUGGCAUAUAAUGCCACUUUGCGGCAUAUGUUGCAUGUCAUAAGAGAAGAACUUCAAGAGGUUUCCAUUUACAUGCGUUUGAGAUUUCAAAUGGAGAUUGGUUUGAAAUGGCUCAAAACAGACUUAGUAUAAGUUUAGAAGAUAUUUUGUUUUCCACAAUUGUUCGUCUUCAAGCUUCUCCCAAUACUCAUUUUCAUCUUCAAUCUUCUCCAAGUACGCUGCAACUUUGAGUAUAGAAAAGUCAACUGAUGAUAAGCUUGAUUUGUGUUACAAACUUCAUCUUCUCGAGGAUACAAACACAACUAUCUACACAGUUUAGUUUUUGAAGCUGCUUUAGAGACGACAAUAAAUCAAUAACUACUCCAAAUUUAAGAAAUUGUACUAAUUAAGGACAGUUGUAGUACAAAUAAAUAUGAAUAUUACUAACUUAUUGUUCAUGAAGCUAAGUAAUAGCUUAAUAGUGGCAUGGGAAUAAAAAAAUUUGUUUUCUA
Molecule: long non-coding RNA, 1522 nt
Organism: Solanum tuberosum (potato)
Lineage: Eukaryota; Viridiplantae; Streptophyta; Magnoliopsida; Solanales; Solanaceae
Exons: 8
Source: RefSeq, a predicted model, not a curated record